AUUGAACGCUGGCGGCAUGCCUUACACAUGCAAGUCGAACGGUAACGCGGGGCAACCUGGCGACGAGUGGCGAACGGGUGAGUAAAGUAUCGGAACGUGCCCAAUAGUGGGGGAUAGCCCGGCGAAAGCCGGAUUAAUACCGCAUGAGACCUGAGGGUGAAAGCGGGGGACUCGCAAGAGCCUCGCGCUGUUGGAGCGGCCGAUAUCAGAUUAGGUAGUUGGUGGGGUAAAGGCCUACCAAGCCGACGAUCUGUAGCUGGUCUGAGAGGACGACCAGCCACACUGGGACUGAGACACGGCCCAGACUCCUACGGGAGGCAGCAGUGGGGAAUUUUGGACAAUGGGCGCAAGCCUGAUCCAGCCAUGCCGCGUGCGGGAAGAAGGCCUUCGGGUUGUAAACCGCUUUUGUCAGGGAAGAAAUCCUUUGAGCUAAUACCUCGGAGGGAUGACGGUACCUGAAGAAUAAGCACCGGCUAACUACGUG
Molecule: ribosomal RNA, 484 nt
Filed under: uncultured bacterium
Lineage: Bacteria
Description: bacterial SSU rRNA
Rfam family: Bacterial small subunit ribosomal RNA
Source: RNAcentral